This is a non-coding RNA of Plectropomus leopardus (leopard coralgrouper), 214 nucleotides long. The record is from RefSeq and is a predicted model, not a curated record. NCBI's taxonomy places the organism in Eukaryota, Metazoa, Chordata, Actinopteri, Perciformes, Serranidae.
GGGACAGUCCUGAAGAUCGAGCGCUUGCAGAAUGUCCAUCUGCGUCGCGCAUAUGAAGCGCAGAAGAAGCACAUCUCUGAUAAGAACAAACAGCAGGGCGGAGCAGGAGAGAAGCUCCUGUACCACGGGACGACCCCCAACAACUGUGACUCCAUCAUGAAAACUGGGUUCAACAGGGGCUUCUCUGGACAGAACGCCACCUCUUACGGUCAAA